GUUGGGUAGGGGAGCGUUCUGUAAGCCUGUGAAGGUGUGUCGUGAGGCAUGCUGGAGGUAUCAGAAGUGCGAAUGCUGACAUAAGUAACGAUAAAGCGGGUGAAAAGCCCGCUCGCCGGAAGACCAAGGGUUCCUGUCCAACGUUAAUCGGGGCAGGGUGAGUCGACCCCUAAGGCGAGGCCGAAAGGCGUAGUCGAUGGGAAACGGGUUAAUAUUCCCGUACUUGGUGUUACUGCGAAGGGGGGACGGAGAAGGCUAUGUUGGCCGGGCGACGGUUGUCCCGGUUUAAGCGUGUAGGUGUGUGUUCCAGGUAAAUCCGGUUCACUUUAACACUGAGGCGUGACGACGAGGCACUACGGUGCUGAAGCAACAAAUGCCCUGCUUCCAGGAAAAGCCUCUAAGCAUCAGGUAACAUCAAAUCGUACCCCAAACCGACACAGGUGGUCAGGUAGAGAAUACCAAGGCGCUUGAGAGAACUCGGGUGAAGGAACUAGGCAAAAUGGUGCCGUAACUUCGGGAGAAGGCACGCUGACACGUAGGUGAAGUGAUUUACUCAUGGAGCUGAAGUCAGUCGAAGAUACCAGCUGGCUGCAACUGUUUAUUAAAAACACAGCACUGUGCAAACACGAAAGUGGACGUAUACGGUGUGACGCCUGCCCGGUGCCGGAAGGUUAAUUGAUGGGGUCAGCGCAAGCGAAGCUCCUGAUCGAAGCCCCGGUAAACGGCGGCCGUAACUAUAACGGUCCUAAGGUAGCGAAAUUCCUUGUCGGGUAAGUUCCGACCUGCACGAAUGGCGUAAUGAUGGCCAGGCUGUCUCCACCCGAGACUCAGUGAAAUUGAACUCGCUGUGAAGAUGCAGUGUACCCGCGGCAAGACGGAAAGACCCCGUGAACCUUUACUAUAGCUUGACACUGAACAUUGAGCCUUGAUGUGUAGGAUAGGUGGGAGGCUUUGAAGUGUGGACGCCAGUCUGCAUGGAGCCGACCUUGAAAUACCACCCUUUAAUGUUUGAUGUUCUAACGUGGACCCGUGAUCCGGGUUGCGGACAGUGUCUGGUGGGUAGUUUGACUGGGGCGGUCUCCUCCUAAAGAGUAACGGAGGAGCACGAAGGUUGGCUAAUCCUGGUCGGACAUCAGGAGGUUAGUGCAAUGGCAUAAGCCAGCUUGACUGCGAGCGUGACGGCGCGAGCAGGUGCGAAAGCAGGUCAUAGUGAUCCGGUGGUUCUGAAUGGAAGGGCCAUCGCUCAACGGAUAAAAGGUACUCCGGGGAUAACAGGCUGAUACCGCCCAAGAGUUCAUAUCGACGGCGGUGUUUGGCACCUCGAUGUCGGCUCAUCACAUCCUGGGGCUGAAGUAGGUCCCAAGGGUAUGGCUGUUCGCCAUUUAAAGUGGUACGCGAGCUGGGUUUAGAACGUCGUGAGACAGUUCGGUCCCUAUCUGCCGUGGGCGCUGGAGAACUGAGGGGGGCUGCUCCUAGUACGAGAGGACCGGAGUGGACGCAUCACUGGUGUUCGGGUUGUCAUGCCAAUGGCACUGCCCGGUAGCUAAAUGCGGAAGAGAUAAGUGCUGAAAGCAUCUAAGCACGAAACUUGCCCCGAGAUGAGUUCUCCCUGAGACUUAGAGUCUCCUGAAGGAACGUUGAAGACGACGACGUUGAUAGGCCGGGUGUGUAAGCGCAGCGAUGCGUUGAGCUAACCGGUACUAAUGAACCGUGAGGCUUAACCUUACAACGCCGAAG
RNAcentral lists this ribosomal RNA (1737 nucleotides) under Salmonella enterica subsp. enterica serovar Infantis. RNAcentral describes it as "bacterial LSU rRNA". It matches the Rfam family "Bacterial large subunit ribosomal RNA", at positions 1223 to 2925 of the family's 2925-position model. The record is from RNAcentral. RNAcentral also lists the same sequence under 10 other names. Lineage: Bacteria; Pseudomonadati; Pseudomonadota; Gammaproteobacteria; Enterobacterales; Enterobacteriaceae.